RNAcentral lists this ribosomal RNA (253 nucleotides) under uncultured bacterium. Its description in RNAcentral is "partial 16S ribosomal RNA". It matches the Rfam family "Bacterial small subunit ribosomal RNA", at positions 524 to 776 of the family's 1533-position model. The record is from RNAcentral.
UACAGAGGUCUCGAGCGUUAGGCGGAAUCACUGGGCUUAAAGCGUGUGUAGGCGGAUCGUUAAGUGCCUUGUGAAAUCCCACGGCUUAACCGUGGAACUGCUUGGCAUACUGGCGGUCUUGAGCAACCUAGGGGCGAGCGGAACAAAUGGUGGAGCGGUGAAAUGCGUAGAUAUCAUUUGGAACGCCAAUGGUGAAAACAGCUCGCUGGGGGUUUGCUGACGCUGAGGCACGAAAGCCAGGGGAGCGAACGGG